This is a long non-coding RNA of Dreissena polymorpha, 685 nucleotides long. RefSeq lists it as uncharacterized. The transcript has 4 exons. NCBI's taxonomy places the organism in Eukaryota, Metazoa, Mollusca, Bivalvia, Myida, Dreissenidae. The record is from RefSeq and is a predicted model, not a curated record.
ACAUAAAAGAAAUAAAUAAUGACAUCGUGUUUUUAUAUAAUAAUAAAUAACAGUUAAUUACUCGUCAUUUAGUAGAUUUUCUCCUUACUUUAAUCGAUCAUUAUUUACUGCAAUUCUUACAAGAAAUAAACAGGACAGUCGUUUCGCGCUAGUUUUUAUACGUUCAGUUGUUUACAUUUUUUCUUACAAAAAAGAAUGUUUCUUUCAGUGUUUCUAGUGUGUUAAAUUUAAUAAUACUCUAACACUUUGUUCUACAGUGAUGUAUGUUCCAGCUGGUAACAGUGAAUUUAUGAAGAAAACUUUGGUCGCCCAGGAAGAAAGUGGUUUUAAAGAUGUUGACGGGCAUUAUUCUAGAAAAGAGCCAUCAUUCCAGUAUGCUGAAAACAUCCCCUCAAGCUCUCCUGGUCCUAAAAAUGAGCACCAAAGGCCAAAGUGUCAGAGAUAAUGAUUGAACUGAUUCUAAAAAUGAGCCAUCCAGUAUUGGUGAAAUCGUCUCCUUCAAGCAUUCCUGGUUUCAAAAUCAGCAUCAAGGCCAAAGAGUCAGAGAUAAUGAUGAUGAUGAUGAUGACGAAGAAGCUGGCUUUGAACCAUCGAGUUCUGACGGUGCGGAAAUGGACUUGGCUACAGGCACAUCUUGUUUCAAGAACAGACAAGAAAGGGCAAGCUUAAAGGGUAAGGCUGGUAU